Molecule: non-coding RNA, 306 nt
Organism: Vicia faba (fava bean)
Lineage: Eukaryota; Viridiplantae; Streptophyta; Magnoliopsida; Fabales; Fabaceae
Source: the annotation of a GenBank genome assembly
AUGAGGUCCAAUUUCAGUAUGGUUCUUUUAACUUCUCCCUUUUCGGAGUUCAAUUUCAACGAGGUUCUUAAAUUUCUUCAAUUUCAACGAGGUUUUUCAAUUAUUCAAUUUCAAAUUCCUACGAGGUUCGUUCAAUUUCUUCAUUCUUCUUUUGACCUAAACCUUAUUUGCUUAUGUUAUGAUGCUAUUUCAUUUUUGCCUAUUUUGUUGUCGAGAUUGAAGUGUUUUACUAUGUUUGCGAAUAGUUCCCUGCAUCCCAUUGACAAACCAUACCCCACACAUCAUUGCGCCAUAAAUUCUCCUUAA